UUGCACGCUGGCGGCAGGCCUAACACAUGCAAGUCGCACGGUAACAGGAAGCAGCUUGCUGCUUUGCUGACGAGUGGCGGACGGGUGAGUAAUGUCUGGGAAACUGCCUGAUGGAGGGGGAUAACUACUGGAAACGGUAGCUAAUACCGCAUAACGUCGCAAGACCAAAGAGGGGGACCUUAGGGCCUCUUGCCAUCGGAUGUGCCCAGAUGGGAUUAGCUAGUAGGUGGGGUAACGGCUCACCUAGGCGACGAUCCCUAGCUGGUCUGAGAGGAUGACCAGCCACACUGGAACUGAGACACGGUCCAGACUCCUACGGGAGGCAGCAGUGGGGAAUAUUGCACAAUGGGCGCAAGCCUGAUGCAGCCAUGCCGCGUGUAUGAAGAAGGCCUUCGGGUUGUAAAGUACUUUCAGCGGGGAGGAAGGGAGUAAAGUUAAUACCUUUGCUCAUUGACGUUACCCGCAGAAGAAGCACCGGCUAACUCCGUG
Molecule: ribosomal RNA, 489 nt
Filed under: uncultured bacterium
Lineage: Bacteria
Description: partial 16S ribosomal RNA
Rfam family: Bacterial small subunit ribosomal RNA
Source: RNAcentral